This is an RNA transcript of Solanum pennellii, 1661 nucleotides long. It is a transcript of the gene named TGACG-sequence-specific DNA-binding protein TGA-1A, with no coding region annotated. Lineage: Eukaryota; Viridiplantae; Streptophyta; Magnoliopsida; Solanales; Solanaceae. The transcript has 10 exons. The record is from RefSeq and is a predicted model, not a curated record.
CAAAAUUAUAACAAGUUGGGAUGGUUGCACACCCAUGAUUAUUAUUUUUUGUUUGGUUAUAUCAAGAAGUGUAAAUAUUAGGAUUUUUCUGCCAUUAAUUUGAUUCAAAAUUGAAUCUUGAUAAGAUUUUCUUUUAUCUUCUUCUCACAAAAUUGAAUCCAUUUGGGUUUUUUCAGUUGAGCUGAGAUUUUGCUGUUUGGCCUUUAAAAGUCCGUACAAAUGAAUUCUUCAACAUACACUCAGUUUGUUGCCUCGAGAAGGAUGGGCAUAUGUGAGCCGAUCCAUCAAAUUGGCAUGUGGGAUGAUUUCAAUGCUAGUUGUCCGAGUACAUCGACAACCAUGAUUCUAGAAGUUGAGAAAUGCUUAGAGGACCAGAUACCGAUGAUGGACAAAAGAUUAGACAUUGAGACAGAAGAUACUUCGCAUGGAACAGUAGGGACUUCUAAUAGAUAUGAAGCGGAAACAAGUAAACCCAUCGAGAAGGUACUUAGACGUCUUGCUCAAAACCGUGAGGCUGCUCGUAAAAGCCGUUUGCGGAAGAAGGCCUAUGUUCAGCAGUUAGAAAAUAGUAAAUUGAAGCUGAUUCAAUUGGAACAAGAACUAGAUCGGGCCAGAAAACAGGGUCUGUAUGUAGGUGCUGGUUUAGAUGCUAGCCAGAUAAGUUACUCUGGAACUGCUAGCUCAGGAACUGCUGUAUUUGAUACGGAGUAUGGUCAGUGGGUGGAAGAGCAAAAUAGACAAACAAAUGAUUUAAGGAAUGCUCUGCAUCAUUCUCAAAUUAGUGAAGCGGAAUUACGCAUUAUCGUUGAUGGUUGCCUGAACCACUACUUUGAGCUCUUCCGCGUCAAGGCUACGGCUGCUAAAGCUGAUGUCCUUUAUAUCAUGUCUGGCAUGUGGAAGACAUCAGCAGAACGCUUUUUUAUGUGGAUUGGGGGGUUUCGUCCAUCCGAGCUUCUAAAGGUUCUCACACCACAUCUUGAGCUCUUGACAGAACAACAACUCCGGGAGGUUUGUAACCUCAGGCAAUCGUGUCAGCAAGCAGAAGAUGCCUUAUCACAAGGAAUGGUAAAACUUCAUCAGAUUCUCGCUGAGGCUGUUGCAGCUGGUCAAUUAGGUGAAGGGAAUUACUCUCUUCCGCAGAUGGGGCCUGCCAUCGAGAAGUUGGAAGCUCUUGUUAGGUUCGUAAAUCAGGCAGAUCAUCUCCGGCAAGAAACACUUCAACAGAUGUCCCGCAUCCUGAAUACGCUCCAAGCAGCUCAGGGCUUACUUGCCUUGGGGGAGUACUUUGAACGGCUUCGUGUUCUAAGCUCACACUGGGCUACUCGUCUUCAUGAGCCGGCCUAAUGAAGCUAUAGAAGAUCCCUCAAUACACCAUUCGACGAGUUUUGCCUUCAGAAACUAUACUAUGUUUUGGUUCGGAAGAGUGUUGCUCACUUAGAGAGACAGAUCCAGGAUUUGAACUUUAAUGAGUUCAGCCUCGCAAUGAACUCAUACAAGUAAAAUCAUGGAUUUGAUCCAAGUACGUUUGUUGAGUUUUUUUAGUAGGUUUUAAGUUUUAACGUAUACAUAUAUGAACUCCGUGUCUAAAAUUAUGGACCGUGUCGAAAGUUAUGGAUUCAGAUAAACGCGUAGCCAAUUGGCUACGUCCGUUUUGCUCGCUU